Molecule: ribosomal RNA, 497 nt
Filed under: uncultured bacterium
Lineage: Bacteria
Description: partial 16S ribosomal RNA
Rfam family: Bacterial small subunit ribosomal RNA
Source: RNAcentral
GAUGAACGCUGGCGGCGUGCCUAAUACAUGCAAGUCGAGCGAACAGACGAGGAGCUUGCUCCUCUGACGUUAGCGGCGGACGGGUGAGUAACACGUGGAUAACCUACCUAUAAGACUGGGAUAACUUCGGGAAACCGGAGCUAAUACCGGAUAAUAUAUUGAACCGCAUGGUUCAAUAGUGAAAGACGGUUUUACUGUCACUUAUAGAUGGAUCCGCGCCGCAUUAGCUAGUUGGUAAGGUAACGGCUUACCAAGGCAACGAUGCGUAGCCGACCUGAGAGGGUGAUCGGCCACACUGGAACUGAGACACGGUCCAGACUCCUACGGGAGGCAGCAGCAGGGAAUCUUCCGCAAUGGGCGAAAGCCUGACGGAGCAACGCCGCGUGAGUGAUGAAGGUCUUCGGAUCGUAAAACUCUGUUAUUAGGGAAGAACAAAUGUGUAAGUAACUAUGCACGUCUUGACGGUACCUAAUCAGAAAGCCACGGCUAACUACGUG